CCCAUGUCUUUUGAGUACUUACGUUUCCUCGGCGGGUCCGCCCGCCGAUUGGACAAAAUUAAACCCUUUGCAGUUGCAAUCAGCGUCUGAAAAACAUAAUAGUUACAACUUUCAACAACGGAUCUCUUGGUUCUGGCAUCGAUGAAGAACGCAGCGAAAUGCGAUAAGUAGUGUGAAUUGCAGAAUUCAGUGAAUCAUCGAAUCUUUGAACGCACAUUGCGCCCCUUGGUAUUCCAUGGGGCAUGCCUGUUCGAGCGUCAUUUGUACCUUCAAGCUUUGCUUGGUGUUGGGUGUUUGUCUCGCCUUUGCGUGUAGACUCGCCUCAAAACAAUUGGCAGCCGGCGUAUUGAUUUCGGAGCGCAGUACAUCUCGCGCUUUGCACUCAUAACGACGACGUCCAAAAGUACAUUUUUUACACUCUUGACCUCGGAUCAGGUAGGGAUACCCGCUGAACUUAAGCAUAUCAAUAAGCGGAGGA
This 478-nucleotide ribosomal RNA is filed under the name uncultured Ascomycota. RNAcentral's name for it is "partial 18S ribosomal RNA". The stretch from base 107 to 260 matches the Rfam family "5.8S ribosomal RNA". The record is from RNAcentral. Lineage: Eukaryota; Fungi; Ascomycota.